AGACGCUGGUUUCUUCUUCAGAACGUAAUAAUCGUUCGCACUUUUACUAAAGAUUUCCGUGGAGAGGAGCAAAACUGAGUUUUUUGGCAAUUUUUGCAUGCUCCAGCUUGCUGGGGCU
Small nuclear RNA from Bufo gargarizans (Asiatic toad), 118 nucleotides. RefSeq annotates it as U5 spliceosomal RNA. Lineage: Eukaryota; Metazoa; Chordata; Amphibia; Anura; Bufonidae. The record is from RefSeq and is a predicted model, not a curated record. The transcript has a single exon.